ACACGAACCGGACAAACGUUAUUCGGAAUUAUUGGGCUUAAAGGGUGCGUAGGCGGCGAUGUAGGUGGGGUGUGAAAUCCCUCGGCUCAACCGAGGAACUGCGCCCCAAACCACAUGGCUAGAGGGAGACAGAGGUAAGCGGAACUGAUGGUGGAGCGGUGAAAUGCGUUGAUAUCAUCAGGAACACCGGUGGCGAAAGCGGCUUACUGGGUCUCUUCUGACGCUGAGGCACGAAAGCUAGGGUAGCGAACGGGAUUAGAAACCCCAGUAGUCC
This 274-nucleotide ribosomal RNA is filed under the name uncultured bacterium. Its description in RNAcentral is "partial 16S ribosomal RNA". It matches the Rfam family "Bacterial small subunit ribosomal RNA", at positions 523 to 796 of the family's 1533-position model. The record is from RNAcentral.